UACGUAGGGGGCAAGCGUUGUUCGGAAUGACUGGGCGUAAAGGGUGCGUAGGCGGUGUAGCAAGUUAGAAGUGGAAUACCUAGGGCUUAACUCAGGUGCUGCUUCUAAAACUGCUAUACUUGAGUGCAGUAGAGGAAAGUGGAAUUCCUAGUGUAGCGGUGGAAUGCGUAGAUAUUAGGAGGAACAUCAGUGGCGAAGGCGACUUUCUGGACUGUAACUGACGCUGAGGCACGAAAGUGUGGGGAGCAAACAGG
This 254-nucleotide ribosomal RNA is filed under the name uncultured bacterium. RNAcentral describes it as "partial 16S ribosomal RNA". It matches the Rfam family "Bacterial small subunit ribosomal RNA", at positions 524 to 776 of the family's 1533-position model. The record is from RNAcentral.